Molecule: long non-coding RNA, 754 nt
Filed under: Nicotiana benthamiana
Lineage: Eukaryota; Viridiplantae; Streptophyta; Magnoliopsida; Solanales; Solanaceae
Description: long non-coding RNA (NBEN_LNC017837)
Rfam family: MIR6151 microRNA precursor family (bases 246-317)
Source: RNAcentral
CAACACAAAAUGCUCAAGAACCCUAAUCUAAUGAGCUCAAAUGACGCAACCCUGCUCCUCUUCUCCAAACACCAUUCGAACCAAAACCCAACCUAGUCCAAGUUCAGGUCAGUGAAGCUCAAAUUCUCAACCACACGUUCCCCAAUUCCUUCUCUUACAGUUAUAACGGUUUCUCACGGAAGAUUCCUCUCCUCUCUCACCGCUCGAAUUGGAUAUAUCUCACAAAUUGGAAGGUUCUGGAGCGAAAUUCCUGGAUGAGUGUGAGGCAUCAGAUUGAGUUCAUUCAAUCUAAGCCCUACAUUCAUCAAGGGAUUCAUUUUCAAAUAGGGCCAGUUCUGAUUUUGAGAGAGAACAGAAAUUUAAAGAAAAGAAGUAGAAAGGCUUCGAUAUUUUCUGCUUUUCUGAUUCCAUUUCUUUUUUUUGAAGAGUUCUUUCAAAGUUUGGAGAAACAUAUGUAUUAUUUUUAUUUUUGAAUCCGGAUGUGACUUCCAAGGAGAUACAAAUUGAAGUUCGAGCUUGGUUUUCUACUGUCGUCUUGUCUAGUUUAUAAUUGUUAUAAAAUAGCUUUGGAAAUUUAGAUUCAAUUAUCCUCUCUUUUAUUCUAUGCGAAUCUGUUUAGUUCGGUGCUUUUGAGCUAUGAGAUUCAGUUUAUAGUGGUCUAUUUUGUGUUAUGAUUGAAUUUCUUGCUGGUGAAUCUCUUUGCAGUGGUGUGAUGUAGUUGAGUAUUUUGAGCCAGUAAAAGCUGGGUUUGAAG